RNAcentral lists this small RNA (1074 nucleotides) under uncultured Frankia sp. Its description in RNAcentral is "bacterial SSU rRNA". The stretch from base 1 to 526 matches the Rfam family "Bacterial small subunit ribosomal RNA", at positions 1012 to 1533 of the family's 1533-position model. The record is from RNAcentral. Lineage: Bacteria; Bacillati; Actinomycetota; Actinomycetes; Frankiales; Frankiaceae.
GGGGUCCGUAAGGGUCCUGCACAGGUGGUGCAUGGCUGUCGUCAGCUCGUGUCGUGAGAUGUUGGGUUAAGUCCCGCAACGAGCGCAACCCUCGUCCUAUGUUGCCAGCGAGUAAUGUCGGGGACUCAUAGGAGACUGCCGGGGUCAACUCGGAGGAAGGUGGGGAUGACGUCAAGUCAUCAUGCCCCUUACGUCCUGGGCUGCACACAUGCUACAAUGGCCGGUACCAAAGGGCUGCGAUGCCGUGAGGUGGAGCGAAUCCCAAAAAAGCCGGUCUCAGUUCGGAUCGGGGUCUGCAAACUCGACCCCGUGAAGUCGGAGUCGCUAGUAAUCGCAGAUCAGCAAUGCUGCGGUGAAUACGUUCCCGGGCCUUGUACACACCGCCCGUCACGUCACGAAAGUCGGUAACACCCGAAAGCCGGUGGCCUAACCCUUGUGGGAGGAGCCGUCGAAGGUGGGACCGGCGAUUGGGACGAAGUCGUAACAAGGUAGCCGUACCGGAAGGUGCGGCUGGAUCACCUCCUUUCUAAGGAGCGUCUGGCUGGUCUGUCCCGUUGGGGGUGGGCUGGUCCAGGGCCAGGGCCGGAUGUGUAGGCCGGUCUGGUUGCUCGAGGGUGUGGACGCUGAUGAUGUGGCUGCUGGCUUGUCUGGUGCCUAGUACUCCUGCUUUUGGGUGGGGUGGAACGGGGCUGGGUGGAGCUGGUGGUCCGUGGCGCGCUGUUGGGUCCUGAGGGAGUCAGGCCGGUUGUGGCUGGGACUUUCUUGAUCCGCUUUUUGUGGGUGCCCCUGUCCUCCUGUGUGGGGGGUGGGGGUGUUCCGCGAGGGUGGUGCGGCUCUGGUCGCCGCAGGGUACUGCCUCUUGUUGUGAGGGGUGAGUCCUGCUGGUGCGGCUGGUUGCCGUCCGUACGUUGAGAACUGCACAGUGGACGCGAGCAUCUUUGUGGCCAAGUUAUUAAGGGCGCACGGUGGAUGCCUUGGCACCAGGAGCCGAUGAAGGACGUGGGAGGCUGCGAUAUGCCUCGGGGAGCUGCCAACCUAGCUGUGAUCCGAGGAUUUCCGAAUGGGGAAACCCGG